Molecule: unclassified non-coding RNA, 252 nt
Filed under: Orbilia sp.
Lineage: Eukaryota; Fungi; Ascomycota; Orbiliomycetes; Orbiliales; Orbiliaceae
Description: partial internal transcribed spacer region
Rfam family: Eukaryotic small subunit ribosomal RNA (bases 1-46)
Source: RNAcentral
AAGUCGUAACAAGGUUUCCGUAGGUGAACCUGCGGAAGGAUCAUUAUCAUAAAACUCUUUGUGCUCGCGCAAAGUUUUAAACCCACUGUGAACCAAAAACCUUUAUAGCUUCGGUAGCAUUUGCUGCGGUCAUCCGUUGCAAUGUCAGCCUGCCGGUAGCAACCAAACCAAACUCUUGUUUAAAAAAUUCUUGUCUGAAUCAAAAUUUUCGAAUGAAAAUCAAAACUUUCAACAACGGAUCUCUUGGUUCUC